AAAAACACAGUUCCAGGUGUGAGAAGAGGAGCUGGGGCUCUCUCUCCUCUCUGUCCGAUUGGUGGCCGGAUGCCACACCACCGAAGAAAAAUAGCGUCUGGACGGAGGGACCUCUCCUCCACCUCUACCUCUACCUCUGUGAUCGUUCCUCUCCUUUUCUCUCUUCUUGGUUCUCUCUUCUACCCUGCUAGUUCGACCGAAUGACGGGAUAAGAUGUGUGACGAUGGCAGAUGGCAACUUGAUGUCAACCGAUUUUCUCUCAUUCCGCUAUACUCUCGUUCUCUCGUACCCUCUUUUGGAUGCUUUAGCUAUGAUAUUAGGUUCACAAAAUUGGUAUUGGUUAGGGUUCUUUGAUUCAAAUUUGAUUGAUGGAUUCACAGAUCUGGGUUUGGGAAAUUGAUUUAGUGAAAUGAAUUUGUGGAACUAGUAUUUGCGAAACUGGUUUGAGGGUUUGAUUUGUGAGUAGAUUUUGUAAAUUAGGGUUUCAUUAUGUAGAAAUGCAAGAUUAGAGAUUUUAGUUCGGGAA
RNAcentral lists this long non-coding RNA (526 nucleotides) under Actinidia chinensis (golden kiwifruit). RNAcentral describes it as "long non-coding RNA (ACHI_LNC009172)". The record is from RNAcentral. Lineage: Eukaryota; Viridiplantae; Streptophyta; Magnoliopsida; Ericales; Actinidiaceae.